This 454-nucleotide ribosomal RNA is filed under the name uncultured Rikenellaceae bacterium. RNAcentral's name for it is "partial 16S ribosomal RNA". It matches the Rfam family "Bacterial small subunit ribosomal RNA", at positions 341 to 792 of the family's 1533-position model. Lineage: Bacteria; Pseudomonadati; Bacteroidota; Bacteroidia; Bacteroidales; Rikenellaceae. The record is from RNAcentral.
ACGGAAGGCAGCAGUGAGGAAUAUUGGUCAAUGGACGCAAGUCUGAACCAGCCAUGCCGCGUGCAGGAAUAAGGCCCUAUGGGUCGUAAACUGCUUUUGUGGUGGAGCAAUAAGUCGUACGUGUACGGCGAUGAGAGUACAUCACGAAUAAGCAUCGGCUAACUCCGUGCCAGCAGCCGCGGUAAUACGGAGGAUGCAAGCGUUAUCCGGAUUUAUUGGGUUCAAAGGGUGCGUAGGCUGUGGUCCAAGUCAGGGGUGAAAGCCCGGAGCUCAACUCCGGAACUGCCUUUGAUACUGGAUUGCUGGAAUACGGAUGCCGUGGGAGGAAUGAGUAGUGUAGCGGUGAAAUGCAUAGAUAUUACUCAGAACACCGAUUGCGAAGGCAUCUCACGAAUCCGUCAUUGACGCUGAGGCACGAAAGCGUGGGGAUCAAACAGGAUUAGAUACCCUGGUA